Molecule: long non-coding RNA, 956 nt
Organism: Podarcis muralis (Common wall lizard)
Lineage: Eukaryota; Metazoa; Chordata; Lepidosauria; Squamata; Lacertidae
Source: RefSeq, a predicted model, not a curated record
GUUGUGACUCCAACCGCCAUUCCAACGGCCGCAGAACGUUGCCUCCGUUCGAAACGAGCUCGUGGUCCCAGCUUGGCCAGAGAGCGAGCGAGAGAGCGAGAGAGAGAGAGGCGCGUCGCGGCCUUCCUCAUCCCCUCACCAUCCUCCUCCUCUCUCCUCUCCCGCCGGAGGAAAAAAACACCUCUCCCCGUCCCCCAAUAAAUACUUCAGGGAACACCGACGGAAAGCGGGGAAAAGAAGGGGAUGUUGUGAGGAAACGUUGCACUGGGGCGCCUAGAUCCGAGUCCUGCCCGGCUUUCCCGCCUCGUUUGUGCGCCUCGAGUCUCGCCGAGUUGACUCGGGUUGCCUCCUCAGGCCUUGCUGGUGGUGAUUGUAGUUGUGUGUGUGUGUUUUUAACAACGACACACGCACACACACCCCCCGGUCCGCUUUAACUCAGUGCCUCAGUCUCUCAGCAGGUGAAGGAGAAGGGCGCCGAUAGGAACCGCCGCCAUUUUCUCUCAAAACGGGCAAACGGGCUUAGUCGGGUUUCGAAAAAACAGAGAUGCCAUUUCGGGUUUGGGAGCAGGAGGAGACUUAUAUUGAAAGAAAAAGCUUGAUAUAUGACAUCUCUGUGUGUAAAGUUGAGGCCCGUGAAGUAAUUGAAAUCUGACACCUUCCAGAGGAGUAAGACAAAGCGCUAUGAUCUACUAUCACGGUGUGAGCUGUGGAAAUCUAUGCAGUCCAUUGCCAAGAAUGAGCAUCACAGGAAGCAGGAACCUAGACUGCGAGUUGUGCCUCUUAUUCUGUGGAUCAUUUGGAGAAAUACACUCAAAGCAAGAUACUAAUUGAUAUUGGGAGAGAGACAUAUUCUCAUCUCUGCUUUCAAGAAAGUGGCAUUCUCGAGCCCUCUGAAGGACAGUACUUCAAGGUUGACCGUGCAGCUAAAUUGAACUUCCAUUUACUGUUAUUGUACC